RNAcentral lists this ribosomal RNA (427 nucleotides) under uncultured bacterium. Its description in RNAcentral is "bacterial SSU rRNA". It matches the Rfam family "Bacterial small subunit ribosomal RNA", at positions 355 to 774 of the family's 1533-position model. The record is from RNAcentral.
UGGGGAAUUUUGGACAAUGGGCGCAAGCCUGAUCCAGCAAUGCCACGUGCAGGAUGAAGGCCUUCGGGUUGUAAACUGCUUUUGUACGGAGCGAAAAGGUCUGCCCUAAUACGGUGGGCUCAUGACGGUACCGUAAGAAUAAGCACCGGCUAACUACGUGCCAGCAGCCGCGGUAAUACGUAGGGUGCUAGCGUUAAUCGGAAUUACUGGGCGUAAAGCGUGCGCAGGCGGUUAUGCAAGACAGAGGUGAAAUCCCCGGGCUCAACCUGGGAACUGCCUUUGUGACUGCAUAGCUAGAGUACGGUAGAGGGGGAUGGAAUACCGCGUGUAGCAGUGAAAUGCGUAGAUAUGCGGAGGAACACCGAUGGCGAAGGCAAUCCCCUGGGCCUGUACUGACGCUCAUGCACGAAAGCGUGGGGAGCAAACA